RNAcentral lists this long non-coding RNA (2126 nucleotides) under Anolis carolinensis (green anole). RNAcentral's name for it is "lncRNA (ENSACAG00000038855.1)". Lineage: Eukaryota; Metazoa; Chordata; Lepidosauria; Squamata; Anolidae. The record is from RNAcentral.
AACAGGAUACUUGUCCUCCUAAUUCUUUCAUUUGAGCCCUGGAUUACAACUCAAGGGACCAUUGAUACUAUGAAGCCAUAGAAAUCCUUUGGGUGACCAUUGGUGCAUGACACACUUUCAGCCCUAUAACUGUUUCACUUUAGGUAGCUUGCAGGCACACAACAACUGAUGCUGAAAAUUUGAAGUUUCCCUAUACCCUGUGGAUAGCCAAGGAAUGCCUGACAAGCUUUAUCAGGAACUGAGAAUCUUACCAGGUUGAAGGCAAACAACAGAGACUUUAUUCAAUUUGCACAAAAGGGACACUUGUACAGCACAGAUGCUUGAAGGGUACAAGUUUAAAGGCAUAACCAUAAGCAGACAUUUUAUACACGUAAGUUUCUAUUCACUGACAUUGUUCUGUUUUGAAGUUCCUGUCUUUUGCCUUGCUUUCUUUUGGAAAUGCUGUUGGCUUCAUGUAAGAGCUUUUAAGCUUUACUGACUUUCCAAAUCUCACAAGGCUUGUGUUUACCACAGCUUGUUUCCACGAAUAAGCGAUUCCAUAAGCUGUUUCUGCAACUUCAUCCGCAUCUUUAAUCCAAUCAACAAUAUUUGUUUACAUGAGCAGGGUGUUUGCUCUCAUAACCAAAGGAACUUUCAGUCGCUCUUUACACCACUCUAACUGUUCCAAUUUGAUAAUUAACCAUCUCAAUUAAUCGCAGUUGUCUCAUUUUUUUCAGCUACUUUUAAAAUCUCCCAGUUUCUGCCUCUUCUUUCCACUUCCCCCUUGUCCUCAAAUUGCCGCAUAUACUUGAGUAUAAACCAACUCGAAUAUAAGCCGAGGCACCUAAUUUUACCACAAAAAUUGGGAAAACUUAUUGACUCGAGUCAAUAAGCAGCAGCUACAAGUCAAAUUCAAAAAUAAAAAUAGAUAUUAAUAAAAUUGCAUCAUUUGAGGCAUCAGUAGGUUAAAUGUUUUUGAAUAUUUAUAUAAAACUGUAAUUUAAGACAACAAUAAGACUUUAAUAAGAUAAAACUGUCCAACUUUGAAUACCUAUAUACUCAAGUAUAAGCUGACCUGAAUAGAAGCUGGCCAGGACACUCACUCAAGUAUAAGCCGAGGGGAGCUUUUUCAGCCCUAAAAAGGGCUGAAAAACUAGGUUUAUACUCGAGUAUAUACGGUACUUCAAUUACAGCAAACAAAGGGCACUUCCAUUCAGCCAUAUAACUCAGAAUAUCAAAGCAGAUAAUCCACAAUAUUUUUCCUUUGAACUGGAUUAUCUAAGUCCACACUGCCAUAUAAUCCAGUUCAAUGUAGAUUUUAUACAGCUGUGUGGAAGGGGCCGGAGUUAAACAUGCAAAAUUAAUUUGUCUGCCCUGCAAAAUUAAUACAGAUUGACCCCACUUUAACCGCCAUGUCUCAAUGCUAUAGAAUGCUGAGAGAUAUAGUUUUUCCAAGGUCUUUCACCUUCUCUGACAAAGACUGCUUGGGGCCUCACCAAACUACAACUCCCAGGAUUCCAUUGCAUUUAGCCAUGACAGAUAAAAGUGGUGUCAAACUACAUUAAAUCUACAAUGUAGAUGCACCCCAGGUUCAGGCAGGAUGGGUUGUAUUUGCCCCAUUGAGUGAAAAGCAAUAUAUAGUAGAGUCUUACUUAUCCGACAUAAAUGGGCCAGCAGAACGUUGGAUAAGUGAAUAUGUUGGAUAAUAAGGAGAGAUUAAGGAAAAGCAUAUUAAACAUCAAAUUACAUUAUGAUUUUACAAAUUAAGCACCAAAACAUCAGGUUUUACAACAAAUUUGACAGAAAAAGCAGUUUAGUACACAGCAAUAUUAUGUAGUAAUUACUGUAUUUACAAAUUUAGCACCAAAACAUCGCAAUGUGUUGAAAAGAUUGACUGCAAAAACAUUGACUACUAAAAGGCAGACUGCGUUGGAGAAUCCAGAAUGUUGGAUAAGUUGGAUAAGUGAGAUGUUAUAUAAUAUUUGAGAAAGGAUUGUAUUUUAAUUUUACAGGAUUUCAGCUAUCAGGGUUGUUGUUUUUUAAAAAGGCAAGGCCUUAUACAAUCCACCAUUUAUACCAAAACAUCAAUAUCCUUGUAAAUUUUAUGCAAACCUAUGUCUUCUUUUUCUGUUAUUUCAGUGACAUAU